Molecule: ribosomal RNA, 497 nt
Filed under: uncultured bacterium
Lineage: Bacteria
Description: partial 16S ribosomal RNA
Rfam family: Bacterial small subunit ribosomal RNA
Source: RNAcentral
GAUGAACGCUGGCGGCGUGCUUAAUACAUGCAAGUCGAGCGAACAGACGAGGAGCUUGCUCCUCUGACGUUAGCGGAGGACGGGUGUGUAACACGUGGAUAACCUACCUAUAAGACUGGGAUAACUUCGGGAAACCGGCGCUAAUACCGGAUAAUAUAUUGAACCGCAUGGUUCAAUAGUGAAAGACGGUUUUGCUGUCACUUAUAGAUGGAUCCGCGCCGCAUUAGCUAGUUGGUAAGGUAACGGCUUACCAAGGCAACGAUGCGUAGCCGACCUGAGAGGGUGAUCGGCCGCACUGGAGCUGAGACACGGUCCAGACUCCUGCGAGAGGCAGCAGUAGCGAAUCUGCCGCAAUAGUCGGAAGCUUGGCGGAGCAGCGCCGCGUGAGAGAUGAAGGUGUUCGGAGCGGAAAACUCUGUUAUUAGGUGAGAACAAAUGUGUAAGUAACUAUGCACGUCGUGACGGUACCUAGUCAGAAAGCCACGGCUAACUACGUG